Molecule: ribosomal RNA, 600 nt
Filed under: uncultured bacterium
Lineage: Bacteria
Description: bacterial SSU rRNA
Rfam family: Bacterial small subunit ribosomal RNA
Source: RNAcentral
CCUACGGGAGGCAGCAGUGGGGAAUUUUCCGCAAUGGGCGAAAGCCUGACGGAGCAACGCCGCGUGAGGGAUGAAGGCCUCUGGGCUGUAAACCUCUUUUAUCAAGGAAGAAGAUCUGACGGUACUUGAUGAAUAAGCCACGGCUAAUUCCGUGCCAGCAGCCGCGGUAAUACGGGAGUGGCAAGCGUUAUCCGGAAUUAUUGGGCGUAAAGCGUCCGCAGGCGGUCUUGUAAGUCUGUCGUUAAAGCGUGGAGCUUAACUCCAUUUCGGCGGUGGAAACUACAAGACUAGAGUGUGGUAGGGGCAGAGGGAAUUCCCGGUGUAGCGGUGAAAUGCGUAGAUAUCGGGAAGAACACCAGUGGCGAAGGCGCUCUGCUGGGCCAUAACUGACGCUCAUGGACGAAAGCUAGGGGAGCGAAAGGGAUUAGAUACCCCGUGUAGUCCUAGCCGUAAACGAUGAACACUAGGUGUCGGGGGAAUCGACCCCUCGGUGUCGUAGCUAACGCGUUAAGUGUUCCGCCUGGGGUAGUACGCNCGCAGUGUGAACUACGAAGAAGUAGUACGGCGUGAGACGUGCCGACGACGACGACGAGGGAGUAG